Molecule: long non-coding RNA, 990 nt
Organism: Peromyscus eremicus (cactus mouse)
Lineage: Eukaryota; Metazoa; Chordata; Mammalia; Rodentia; Cricetidae
Exons: 2
Source: RefSeq, a predicted model, not a curated record
UACCUGGUCAUAUCCCUAAUCUUGGACCUCGAGAACUCCUGACUUGCGUGUGUGCACACUGAGCAUUAGUGACAUGGAGGGAAAAGAGCACUUCUCACGGCCCCUUCCUAGCAGACUAGCAUGCCAUUGUCUGAGCUCCAGAGGAACUCAGAGGCUGCACACAGCAACAGGAGGUUAUGCUGUGGAUGACAAUGAUGUGGUUUCUCUGCCACCAUCCAACUACAGACGACUCCAAGUUAACAACAAGAACUGUGGAAUCUACAGGAGCAUCCUCUUGUGAAAGCCUCCCAAUAAUCCAGAAAACCUGUCUGACCAGGUAAAGAAAUAUCUCAGAGGAGCUUUGGGAAUUAAAUGUGCUUCCCUUCCUGAACUCUAGAGUGGAUACCUGAGAAGGGCAGUAUCCAUGGACCACCAGUCCCAGGCCUCCACUAACAUGAAGUAGAACUUGAGGUCAUACCCUUGGCCCAUCUUUCACUGGUAUUAGACAGAGACAAUUUACAAACAAAUACUGAAGCACUUAAUUAGAAUUCCAACAUAAUUUCUCUAAAUUGGCAUUCAGAAUAUUUGACCCCUGGAGAAGAGAAAUCCGAAGCUAUAUGAGUUCUCAGGUUCUACCAGUUGUUAUUCUAAAGGUGACAGAUGUUUGCACUUCAUCUCUACACUCAGCAAAAUCCAGUCUGAUGCUCAAACACAAGAUGGAACAACCAACCUAGAAGACAUGGCAGAGGACAAGAGAUUCCUCCAGACCCCGAUCUUCUUCUUCCAGGACUUCCCACCAAGCCUCAAAGAUCCACAAAGGGCUACAGGGAAGUAAUGGAGACUGAACACAUGGAACAGAACAGAAAGCUCAGAAACAGACCCAGUGAAAUCCUGCCAGCUAAUUUUCUCAUAAUCACCCAGAGAAAUCAAGGCAGAGAGAAGGGUUUGUCCACAAAUGACUGCAGAAGAAGAUUUAAAAACAAUAAUAAAGAACCCAUUUUAAAGCAUGAA